RNAcentral lists this ribosomal RNA (253 nucleotides) under uncultured bacterium. Its description in RNAcentral is "partial 16S ribosomal RNA". It matches the Rfam family "Bacterial small subunit ribosomal RNA", at positions 524 to 776 of the family's 1533-position model. The record is from RNAcentral.
UACGUAGGGUGCGAGCGUUAAUCGGAAUUACUGGGCGUAAAGGGUGCGCAGGCGGUUCUGCAAGUCAGGCGUGAAAUCCCCGGGCUUAACCUGGGAACUGCAGUCGAGACUGCUUUGCUUGAGUAUGGGAGAGGGAGGUGGAAUUUCCGGUGUAGCGGUGAAAUGCGUAGAUAUCGGAAGGAACAUCAGUGGCGAAGGCGACCUCCUGGACCAAUACUGACACUCAAGUGCGAAAGCGUGGGGAGCAAACAGG